RNAcentral lists this ribosomal RNA (347 nucleotides) under uncultured bacterium. RNAcentral's name for it is "bacterial SSU rRNA". It matches the Rfam family "Bacterial small subunit ribosomal RNA", at positions 917 to 1264 of the family's 1533-position model. The record is from RNAcentral.
GGACCCGCACAAGCGGUGGAGCAUGUGGUUUAAUUCGAUGCAACGCGAAAAAACCUUACCUACUCUUGACAUACUUGGGAGCUCUUGUAAUGAGAGUGUGCCUUUUGGAACCAAGAUACAGGUGCUGCAUGGCUGUCGUCAGCUCGUGUCGUGAGAUGUUCCGUUAAGUCGGAUAACGAGCGCAACCCUUACCCUUAUUUGCCAGCGAUUCGGUCGGGAACUAUAAGGGGACUGCCGGUGAUAAACCGGAGGAAGGUGAGGACGACGUCAAGUCAUCAUGGCCCUUACGAGUAGGGCUACACACGUGCUACAAUGGGGAAUACAGACGGACGCUAAGCCGCGAGGUG